GUAGGUGAACCUGCGGAAGGAUCAUUAGUGAAUUUAGCGCAGUUGCUUGCAACGCGUGACCCCACUCUAUACACUGUGCACUCAUUGGCGGAGAGAAGAAAAAAAUAAAAUUUAUUUUGUUUCGCUCAACUUUCUGCGGCUCACUUUAAACACCAGUCAAAGUAUGUAUACGAAAUAUCGAAAAAAGAAAAACUUUCAACAACGGAUCUCUUGGCUCUC
Molecule: unclassified non-coding RNA, 219 nt
Filed under: rhizosphere metagenome
Description: partial ribosomal RNA internal transcribed spacer region
Source: RNAcentral